RNAcentral lists this ribosomal RNA (1919 nucleotides) under marine sediment metagenome. RNAcentral's name for it is "bacterial LSU rRNA". It matches the Rfam family "Bacterial large subunit ribosomal RNA", at positions 1 to 1973 of the family's 2925-position model. The record is from RNAcentral.
UUAAGUGACGAAGCGUAUACGGUGGAUGCCUUGGCAGUUAGAGGCGAUGAAGGACGUGUAAGUCUGCGAAAAGCUGUGGUGAGCCGACAAAAUGCAUUUGAGCCACAGAUGUCCGAAUGGGGAAACCCACCUGUUUACAGGUAUCGUUAACUGAAUACAUAGGUUAACGAGGCAAACGAGGGGAACUGAAACAUCUAAGUACCCUUAGGAAAAGAAAUCAACCGAGAUUCCCCUAGUAGCGGCGAGCGAACGGGGAGCAGCCCUUAAGCUGUUUAGAAUUUAGUGGAAUCCUUUGGGAAGAGGAGCGAUACAAGGUGAUAGCCCUGUACACGACGGAUUCUUUACAGUGAAAUCGAGUAGGUCGGGACACGUGUUAUCUUGACUGAAUAUGGGGGGACCAUCCUCCAAGGCUAAAUACUCCUAACUGACCGAUAGUGAACCAGUACCGUGAGGGAAAGGCGAAAAGAACCCCUGUGAGGGGAGUGAAAUAGAACCUGAAACCGUAUACGUACAAGCAGUGGGAGCCCUUCGGGGUGACUGCGUACCUUUUGUAUAAUGGGUCAGCGACUUAUAUUUAGUAGCAAGGUUAAGUGAAUAACGGAGCCGUAGCGAAAGCGAGUGUUAACUGCGCGUUUAGUUGCUAGGUAUAGACCCGAAACCCGGUGAUCUAGCCAUGGGCAGGUUGAAGGUUGAGUAACAUCAACUGGAGGACCGAACCCACUAACGUUGAAAAGUUAGGGGAUGACCUGUGGCUGGGGGUGAAAGGCCAAUCAAACCGGGAGAUAGCUGGUUCUCCCCGAAAUCUAUUUAGGUAGAGCCUCGGACGAAUUCCAUUGGGGGUAGAGCACUGUUAAGGCUAGGGGGUCAUCCCGACUUACCAACCCUUUGCAAACUCCGAAUACCAAUGAGAACUAUCCGGGAGACACACGGCGGGUGCUAACGUCCGUCGUGGAGAGGGAAACAACCCAGACCGCCAGCUAAGGUCCCAAAAUAUUGCUAAGUGGGAAACGAUGUGGGAAGGCAUAGACAGCUAGGAGGUUGGCUUAGAAGCAGCCACCCUUUAAAGAAAGCGUAAUAGCUCACUAGUCGAGUCGGCCUGCGCGGAAGAUGUAACGGGGCUAAGCAAUAUACCGAAGCUGCGGCAGCAAGUUUACUUGCUGGGUAGGGGAGCGUUGUGUAAGUGGAUGAAGGUGAGUUGUAAAGCUUGCUGGACAUAUCACAAGUGCGAAUGCUGACAUGAGUAACGAUAAUGGGAGUGAAAAACUCCCACGCCGGAAGACCAAGGUUUCCUGUCCCAUGCUAAUCAGGGCAGGGUAAGUCGGCCCCUAAGGCGAGGCAGAAAUGCGUAGUCGAUGGGAAACGGGUUAAUAUUCCCGUACUUAUAUAAUCAGUGAUGGAGGGACGGAGAAGGCUAGGCAAGCUUGGCGUUGGUUGUCCAAGUGAAAGUGAGUAGGCUGAAGACUUAGGUAAAUCCGGGUUUUCAAGGCCGAGACACGAGACGAGCCACUAAGGUGGUGAAGUUGUUGAUGCCCUGCUUCCAGGAAAAGCUUCUAAACUUAUGAUUAUAUGAACCGUACCCCAAACCGACACAGGUGGUCAGGUAGAGAAUACUAAGGCGCUUGAGAGAACUCGGGUGAAGGAACUCGGCAAAAUUGUACCGUAACUUCGGGAGAAGGUACGCCUCUGUUUGUGAACACUUCGCGUGGUAAGCAAAUGGAGGCCGCAGUGACCAGGUGGCUGGGACUGUUUAUUAAAAACACAGCACUCUGCAAACUCGUAAGAGGACGUAUAGGGUGUGACACCUGCCCGGUGCCGGAAGGUUAAUUGAUGGGGUUAGUUUUCGGACGAAGCUCUUGAUCGAAGCCCCGGUAAACGGCGGCCGUAACUAUAACGGUCCUAAGGUAGCGAAAUUCCUUGUC